CGCCCUUCCUACGGGAGGCAGCAGUGGGGAAUUUUGGACAAUGGGCGCAAGCCUGAUCCAGCCAUGCCGCGUGCGGGAAGAAGGCCUUCGGGUUGUAAACCGCUUUUGUCAGGGAAGAAAUCUUUCUGGGUUAAUACCUCGGGAGGAUGNCGGUCCNGAG
This 160-nucleotide ribosomal RNA is filed under the name uncultured bacterium. Its description in RNAcentral is "partial 16S ribosomal RNA". It matches the Rfam family "Bacterial small subunit ribosomal RNA", at positions 331 to 483 of the family's 1533-position model. The record is from RNAcentral.